AUGAUGUUUGAGCAUGUACUUUUUUUGAGUGUCUAUUUAUUUUCGAUUGGUAUCUAUGGAUUGAUCACAAGCCGAAACAUGGUUAGAGCUCUAAUAUGUCUUGAACUUAUACUGAAUUCAAUUAAUCUAAAUCUCGUAACAUUUUCUGAUCUAUUUGAUAGUCGCCAAUUAAAAGGAGAUAUUUUCGCAAUUUUUGUUAUAGCCCUUGCGGCUGCUGAAGCCGCUAUUGGACUAUCCAUUCUUUCUUCCAUCCAUCGUAAUAGGAAAUCCACUCGUAUCAAUCAAUCUAAUUUAUUGAAUAAUUAG
RNAcentral lists this ribosomal RNA (306 nucleotides) under Triticum aestivum (bread wheat). RNAcentral's name for it is "partial small subunit ribosomal RNA". The record is from RNAcentral. Lineage: Eukaryota; Viridiplantae; Streptophyta; Magnoliopsida; Poales; Poaceae.